AAUCAACGCUGGCGGCGUGCCUAACACAUGCAAGUCGAACGAGAAAGUGGAGCAAUCCAUGAGUAAAGUGGCGCACGGGUGAGUAACACGUGACUAACCUACCCUUGAGUGGGGGAUAACCUCGGGAAACCGGGGCUAAUACCGCAUAAUAUCGAGAGAUCAAAGGAGCAAUUCGCUUAAGGAGGGGUCGCGGCUGAUUAGCUAGUUGGUGAGGUAAUGGCUCACCAAGGCUAUGAUCAGUAUCCGGCCUGAGAGGGCGCACGGACACACUGGAACUGAAACACGGUCCAGACUCCUACGGGAGGCAGCAGUGGGGAAUUUUGCGCAAUGGGGGAAACCCUGACGCAGCAACGCCGCGUGGAGGAUGAAGUCCCUUGGGACGUAAACUCCUUUCGAUCGGGGACGAUAAUGACGGUACCCGAGAGAAGAAGCCCCCGGCUAACUUCGUGCCAGCCGCCGCCGU
RNAcentral lists this ribosomal RNA (463 nucleotides) under uncultured bacterium. RNAcentral's name for it is "bacterial SSU rRNA". It matches the Rfam family "Bacterial small subunit ribosomal RNA", at positions 32 to 521 of the family's 1533-position model. The record is from RNAcentral.